CUUCACCAGGUCUGGAACACCUCAUCCGAUCCACGAGUAAUUCGUAACUUCGGCAAGCACAAUAACGAAAAAAAGAGCAGAUCUUCUUUCUGUUCCCUGAGCAAUUUGCAUGUUUAUAAUUUUUUCUAAAGUUUUUAAUUAUUCUAUAUAUUUUAGAAAAUUUUGAAAUAGGAUAUAGAUAUCGUCGAAUAAUCGAUUAAUAUUUAUCAGUGCAGUUUUUAAGAUAGCUUCAAUUUUGAAUUUUACUAAAAUUUAAGAUAUAUAUUUUCAAUCCACUUUGUGUAUUGGUUCUUUGCCUUGUGGUUUUUUAUUCUUGUUUCCGUAUAUAAAAUUUGCUAUUUUAUUUGCUUGUAUUUCUUAAUUGGGUAAGUAACGCUGUGAAUUUUUUUUUCGGCAAACUAAAAAUGGUGAAUCAUUCAACGUCUUUUCUUUAAUAAUAGAUAUGAAAAUUUUUUCUUAAAGAUGGUGAAUUGUUUACUGUCUUCCAAAUUUCUUAUAAAAAUGGUGAAUUAUUCAACGUCUUUACUUUAAUAAUGGAUGAUUUACUGUUUCUUUCUAUUUUUCAUAUAAUUCCCAUGAUCACAUAAAAAUUUCAACAAUAUAUUUACAAUUUCAACAACCUACAAAUUUUAGUACUCUAUCCAUACAACAAUUCUAACAAUAAAAAAAAAUUAUAAUAAUCCAUAUAUAAUUCUGACAAUUUAUUUUUUUUGUUUUACAUAUAUAAUAAUAAUAAUAAUAAUAAUAUAAAAAUUAUGAAAAAUCACAUAUAAAUUAUGAAGGUGGUGAAUUGUUUGCCGCCUACCUAAUGACGGUGAAUAGUUUGAAAAUAUUGUAUAUUUUAUAUUUGGAAAUUGUAAUGUUAAGUUUGUUAUUGACUUAUCAAGUCUACGUAUAUUUUUAUUAGUAAAAUAUUAAUGGUUUCCAUAAUAAAAAUACCUUAUAUCCCUAAUUUAAUAUUCCCACCACCUAUAAAUUUACAAUAAUUUUACUACAACAGAAAAUUUUGAGGAGCUUAAAAGCCAAAAAAGCUUGAAGCUUAUCGUAAUCAAAUUUAACGGAACUAAUGUAACCUACAACCCUAAACCCUAACGUAAUCUUAUAUAUCUCGUUAAACACAUUCAAGUUCGAUAAAUUAUUCACCGCUUUCUAAAUUUUCUACAAAAGCUUUGCUUUUAAGCUGAUACUCUGAACCCUAAACAUUGCUUUUCGGAUUCAAAUUCUCCAUUAAAAUUAAAAUUUUUAAUUCGAAACUAAUAAUUUAAAAUUAAAGUUUUGAAUUUGUAUUGAAAGAUAUAAAUUUAAAACUGAAUUAAAAAUUUGAAUUGAAAUUAUUUCUCUCUCCCCCUCCCAGUUAGGGAUGUUUGGAUCGGGUUUUUAAAAAUCUGAAUCCGAAUCCGAAAACUAAAUUAAAACUCGAAUCCGGACCUGAACCGGCGGGUUUUAAAAAUUUAUACCCAUAUUCGGACCUGACCAAAAACCCAAAACCUGAACCUGGACCCGAACCCGGCCGAUUUUAAAAAUCCAUACCGUUGGAUAAAAAUCUAAAAAAUAAAAAAUAUUAAAUAUUUUAUAUAUUAUAUAAAUAAAUAAAAAUAAAUUUUAUAUAUAUAUAUAUAUAUAUAUAUAUAUAUAUAUAUAUAUAUAUAUAUAUAUAUGUAAUU
RNAcentral lists this long non-coding RNA (1664 nucleotides) under Ananas comosus (pineapple). RNAcentral's name for it is "long non-coding RNA (ACOM_LNC031141)". Lineage: Eukaryota; Viridiplantae; Streptophyta; Magnoliopsida; Poales; Bromeliaceae. The record is from RNAcentral.